This 381-nucleotide ribosomal RNA is filed under the name uncultured eukaryote. RNAcentral's name for it is "SSU rRNA". It matches the Rfam family "Eukaryotic small subunit ribosomal RNA", at positions 587 to 972 of the family's 1831-position model. The record is from RNAcentral.
AGCUCCAAUAGCGUAUAUUAAAGUUGUUGCGGUUAAAAAGCUCGUAGUUGGAUUUCUGCUGAGGGUGGCUGGUCCGCCCACUGGGCGAGUAUCUGGCACAGCCUGAGCAUCUUUCUGGAGAGCGUAACUGCACUUGACUGUGUGGUGCGGUAUCGAGAACUUUUACUUUGAGGAAAUCAAAGUGUUUGAAGCAGGUGUUUGCCUUGAAUACAUUAGCAUGGAAUAAUGACAUAGGAUCUUGGCUCUAUUUUGUUGGUUUCUAGAACUGCGGUAAUGAUUAAUAGGGAUAGUUGGGGGCAUUUGUAUUUAAUUGUCAGAGGUGAAAUUCUUGGAUUUGUUAAAGACGGACCAUUGCGAAAGCAUUUGCCAAGGAUGUUUUCA